This is a long non-coding RNA of Vidua macroura (Pin-tailed whydah), 1205 nucleotides long. RefSeq lists it as uncharacterized. The record is from RefSeq and is a predicted model, not a curated record. Lineage: Eukaryota; Metazoa; Chordata; Aves; Passeriformes; Viduidae. The transcript has 5 exons.
UGUGGGGGGGAGGUCGUCCGGGAUGUCUGGGAUGUGUGUGGUGUGUCCAGACCGUGUCUGUGGUAUCGGGGUGGCGUCCGGAGCUCCAUCCUGCUGGGACAGCUCGGGCUCCCCAGAGUAGACCACUGCUCGGCUGGGAAGGCCUGCCUGUUCAUCUCCCUGCCCCCCUGGGCACACGCCGGCUGAACAUGAGCCCAGUUGCGCCCAGAUGGGCAAGGAGCCCAAUGGCACGUGGGCUGUACCAGCCACAGUGUGGCCAGUGGAACCAGGGCAGUGACCACCCACCUGUGGUGGGGCACCUCUAGUCCUGGGGUUUGAUCAGCUGAACACUGCCUUUGAGAGGUUUACAGGACAUCCUUCAAUGUCCUGACUGUGCUUGAGCAGAAGUCAUGCUUUCUGUGGCAGACGGAUGAGCAAGGCCAGGGAUGGGCAGUGGUACAAGAUGAAUGAUGCCUCAAGACUUCUCUCUGCCAAAAUACAUAUUUACUUUUCUAUGCCAGGAGAGAAUGACUUUGUCCAGAUGCAUGCUCUCUGAGAAGAGCCAGCUGUGAAAAGGGGCAAAAUGGACAUCUGAGAGUAUAAAGAUGAGUCACUGCCUGAAAGGGCCAGACAUGGCUGGAAAACUGUGAUCUAUUUUCCAAAGCCUUGUGCUGCUUUAGUCUUCUGCAUGUCAUGUCAAAUGUGCCAGAAAAUGACAGGGCUGAAGCCUCAAGGAGACUGCAAGAAAUGAAGGAGGUGUAAAAAGCCCACACACACUGAGGAGGGGGAGAACUUGUAUAGAAGCCAGCCAGACAUUCUACCUCCCAGGAAAUUCAGGGCACCCUCACUACCAGCUGGGACAUGGCCAUGGGAACCUGCUUAGCUGUUUCCACAGGGAGAGAAAGAGCCUCCUGAUGGCAGAAGUUCAGGGGAGGAUGGUGCAAGAAUGAAGAAAGGGAACUUUCUUCGUUCAUCAUCAAGAGAGGAGAACUAAAAAGUAGCAACAUUGCAACAGUUGCUUCACUCCUUGCCAAUCAUUUCAAGUGCAUAUGGCUUCUGUAUAGACCUGUUCAGUACUGGUCACCAAGCUUCCCAGCAUAACCUGCCAGUGACCAUUAAAGGCUGCAGAUAUCUCAGAAGAAUGUUGACCAUUAAACCUGACAUUUAUGAUUGAAACAAUAAAACCAUCAAACCAAACCCAGUCCCAAGUGGUGCUUCUGAUUGUC